AGAGUUUGAUCAUGGCUCAGAACGAACGCUGGCGGCGUGCCUAACACAUGCAAGUUGAACGGAGCCCGAAGGAGUAGCAAUACUUUUUCAGGCUUAGUGGCGGACGGGUGAGUAACACGUAGGUAACCUACCCUUAGGCGGGGGACAACUCAGGGAAACUUGAGCUAAUACCGCAUAAAUCCACCGGCUGGGAUGCUGGUGGGGAAAGUGGCGACACACCUAAGGAUGGGCCUGCGGCCUAUCAGGUAGUUGGUGGGGUAAGAGCCCACCAAGCCGAAGACGGGUAGCCGGGCUGAGAGGUUGAACGGCCACACUGGAACUGAGACACGGUCCAGACUCCUACGGGAGGCAGCAGUGGGGAAUCUUGCGCAAUGGGGGAAACCCUGACGCAGCGACGCCGCGUGGAGGAUGAAGGUCUUUGGGUUGUAAACUCCUUUUCUUGGGGAAAAUGAUGAUGGUACUCAAGGAAUAAGCCACGGCUAACUCUGUGCCAGCAGCCGCGGUAAGACAGAGGUGGCGAGCGUUGUUCGGAAUUACUGGGCUUAAAGGGCGAGUAGGCGGUAGGGCAAGUCUGAGGUGGAAUCCUAUGGCUUAACCAUAGAACUGCCUUAGAAACUGCUUUACUUGAGUCAGUGAGGGGAGGGCGGAAUUCCUGGUGUAGCGGUGAAAUGCGUAGAUAUCAGGAGGAAGGCCUGUGGCGAAAGCGGCCCUCUGGCACUGUACUGACGCUGAGGCGCGAAAGCGUGGGGAGCAAACAGGAUUAGAUACCCUGGUAGUCCACGCCCUAAACGGUGGGCAUUAGGUGUAGGGCUCGUAAGGGUUCUGUGCCGAAAGGGAAACCAUUAAAUGCCCCGCCUGGGGAGUACGGCCGCAAGGUUGAAACUCAAAGGAAUUGACGGGGGCCCGCACAAGCGGUGGAGCAUGUGGUUUAAUUCGACGCUACGCGAAGAA
This 951-nucleotide ribosomal RNA is filed under the name uncultured bacterium. RNAcentral describes it as "bacterial SSU rRNA". It matches the Rfam family "Bacterial small subunit ribosomal RNA", at positions 8 to 968 of the family's 1533-position model. The record is from RNAcentral.